GCGGGUAUAGUUUAGUGGUAAAACAGGUCGUUGCCAACGAUCAGAUGUGAGUCCGAUUCUCACUACCCGCACCA
RNAcentral lists this transfer RNA (74 nucleotides) under bacterium. RNAcentral describes it as "tRNA-Gly". It matches the Rfam family "tRNA". Rfam says of the family: Transfer RNA (tRNA) molecules are approximately 80 nucleotides in length. Their secondary structure includes four short double-helical elements and three loops (D, anti-codon, and T loops). The record is from RNAcentral.